Long non-coding RNA from Contarinia nasturtii (swede midge), 1026 nucleotides. RefSeq lists it as uncharacterized. The record is from RefSeq and is a predicted model, not a curated record. The transcript is spliced from 4 exons. NCBI's taxonomy places the organism in Eukaryota, Metazoa, Arthropoda, Insecta, Diptera, Cecidomyiidae.
CUUAACUUUUGUAUGUCUAAAGAAUAACUUCAGAUUCGGUUUUCUCGUCAUAAAAAGACACCAAUACAAAUUUCGACCGGUUUUAGUGCACAAUGCUAUGCAUCGUUCCAUGAUUGAAAAUUUAAUUGUUAUUUGCAGAGAUUCAGCAAAAAAAGUAUUAGAUGAUCAUAUUGAACAGCUAAAUUUCGAAGAUGACCCGGAAAAUUCUAUCAAACACAUUAACAAAUUCAUUGAAGAAAUAGCCAAAAACAAUAUCAAAGAUGCCCUGCAAGUGACAAAAUAAAAUUAAUACAGUUGGCUAUUGUAAACGCAGCAUAUUUCCAUGGACAAUGGGUAUGUAUUGGUAGUUUCUUUAUGGAUUUGAAAAUGUACAAUUUCAUUCGAUUUGAAUCCAUACUCUAGAUAUCAACAUUUGACAAAGGACAAUCGACAUUUUUUUAUCGAAAUGGUAUCGAACCGGUUGAUGUUGAAAUGAUGCACCGAGUUGGAAAAUUCAAAUAUGGUGCUAUAAAAAAUUGAAAAAAAAAAAAACGAUUUUCAAUGUAUGUCUUAAUGCCAGCCAAUACUCAAACAGCUAUCGAUGAAUUGCUUGGAAAAUUAACCGCACCAAUUUUAAAUUAUGUAUUCAAUGGUGUGGAUCGGGAAUCGACAGUCGCCGUUUCUCUUCCAAAGUUUUCAAUUGAUAAAGAUUCUGACUUAGAACCGGUACUGAAACAAAUGUACAGCAUAAAGCUGAAUAGAGCGAACAUAAAGCGCAUCGCGUCUGAGCGUUCAUAUAUAUAAGAUCUCAAGUGUAGCUACAAUUUAUUUGCUCUGAAAAUUUUACAAUAUGAAGUUCGUCGAAUUUUUGGUUUUUUUCGUUUUAUUUGGACAAUAUUGGGCAGACGCAGAUUUGCGCAUUUAUGGAGGAACGCAUUCUGAACACGUGCCAUAUAUGGCAUCUUUCCAACACGGACCCGACCCAUGCAUCGAACAAUCCAGUUGGCUUCCGCAGUUUUUUGGAGGUGCACCUUAUGGAAAUGUCAA